AUCCAGCUGACGAUUCCUAAGUGGGGCGAAAUGCGCAUCCUGGAU
Molecule: non-coding RNA, 45 nt
Filed under: Trichobilharzia regenti
Lineage: Eukaryota; Metazoa; Platyhelminthes; Trematoda; Strigeidida; Schistosomatidae
Source: RNAcentral